CCUACGGGAGGCUGCAGUGAGGAAUAUUGGUCAAUGGGCGAGAGCCUGAACCAGCCAAGUCGCGUGAGGGAAGACGGUCCUACGGAUUGUAAACCUCUUUUGUCAGGGAGCAAGGAGCGCCACGAGUGGUGCGGCGAGAGUACCUGAAGAAAAAGCAUCGGCUAACUCCGUGCCAGCAGCCGCGGUAAUACGGAGGAUGCGAGCGUUAUCCGGAUUUAUUGGGUUUAAAGGGUGCGUAGGCGGCCUUUUAAGUCAGCGGUGAAAGUUUGUGGCUCAACCAUAGAAUUGCCGUUGAAACUGGGGGGCUUGAGUAUGUUUGAGGCAGGCGGAAUGCGUGGGGUAGCGGUGAAAUGCAUAGAUAUCACGCAGAACCCCGAUUGCGAAGGCAGCCUGCCAAGCCAUGACUGACGCUGAUGCACGAAAGCGUGGGGAUCGAACAGGAUUAGAUACCCUAGUAGUC
RNAcentral lists this ribosomal RNA (460 nucleotides) under uncultured bacterium. RNAcentral's name for it is "partial 16S ribosomal RNA". It matches the Rfam family "Bacterial small subunit ribosomal RNA", at positions 338 to 795 of the family's 1533-position model. The record is from RNAcentral.